GCGCCCUCCAGCCAAUGCGCCCCGCCCGCCUUCAGCGCGGCCUCGGCGAGUGGCUGCCGGGCGGCGGGGCGGGGCGGGGCAGCGCCGGCCGCAGCACCUGGGGCGAGGGGCGUGAGGCGGCCGGGCCGGGUGCGUGAGGAGAGAUCGCCCGGUUCGCGCUUCUCCUCGGCUCCCGCCAAACUCCCUCUCUGUGCCGCGGGGUACAAUGGCAUCAGUCGUCUCCUCACGCCUGACUGUAAGGCAGCCUCCAGAAGCACCAUGUGGUACCUCGUUCAGUUGCAUACAAGUAAAACCUUGCUCAGUCCUGGGGACCAGACAGAUCCUAUGUCUCCUUCACCUGUACCAGGUCAGCUAAAGAAAGCAGAAGUUUUCCUGUUCUGUCUGUUUGAGCAUCUCAGUCCUAAUCUGAAG
This 411-nucleotide long non-coding RNA is filed under the name Calidris pugnax (ruff). RNAcentral describes it as "lncRNA (ENSCPUG00000002739.1)". Lineage: Eukaryota; Metazoa; Chordata; Aves; Charadriiformes; Scolopacidae. The record is from RNAcentral.